Molecule: long non-coding RNA, 2450 nt
Filed under: Homo sapiens (human)
Lineage: Eukaryota; Metazoa; Chordata; Mammalia; Primates; Hominidae
Description: HSALNT0121554
Source: RNAcentral
GAUCGUGCCACUGCACUCCAGUGGGAGACACACUGAAACUAAAAAACUAAAAAAACAAACCAACAAAUUCUGUAUACUUUCUGGCCAAACCAGUUUGCUCAUAAGUCAUUAAUCAAUUCCAUUGUUUACAGUUUUUAUGGAGAAAAUAAGCAACACACACAUUUUAAUAGUGUUCAUUUAUUUUUGCAUGAGUUCUUAAAAUACAUAUCUCUUCCUUUCCUUUUUUUUUUUUUUUUUUUUUUUUUUUUUUUUUUUUGGAGACAGUCUCAUUCUGUCACCCAGGGUAGAGUGCAGUGGCACAGUCUCGGCUCACCGCAACCUCCAAUUUUCGGGCUCAAGCGAUUUUCAUGCCUCAGCCUCCUGAGUAGCUGGGACUGCAGGUGCCUGCCACUAUGCCUCCUGACUAAUUUUUUGUAUUUUUGGUAGAGACAGGGUUUCACCAUGUUGCCCAGGGCAGUCUCAAACUCCUGAGCUCAGGUAAUCCGCCUGCCUUGGCCUCCCAAAGUGCUAGGAUUUCAGGUGUGAGCCACAGUGCCCAACCAAAAUACAUAUUUCUAUUUCAAGAUAACAUUUAAAAAUUAUUCUAACAGCAGCAAAAAUAUAAUUCUGCAAUUACAAAAGAACUAAACUAGAAUCCAUCAGUUAUUCUCGUGUUUACAAUUGUGAUUCUUUAAUACUACUACUAUACAGCUCUAUUGUAAGCUUUCGAGGUUGGGUUUAAACACACACACAUAGAUACUGUCAGUUGUAGGAGGCUUUACAAGUUAUAUUCCAUGCACUUUUUGGACAGAGUUCUGAAAGAGCCAGCCAGUCCACAAGACAGGCAGAAAAAAGUUAAACUAACUGGGCAAAUAGGACUCAUAUAACAUUCAAAAUGUGAGAUUCUGCAGCAAACUGGGAGUACUUCACGGUUGGCCUACUAUCUUCUUUAGAACUAAUUUCAUCUUAACAGUUUAAGAAGGUGGACAUUUCAACACUAUGAAGUAUAUUUAGGUGACAUGUAUCUUUUAUGUUAACUCUACUUCCUUUAAUGACCUAGUUAGUAAACUAUUCACUAGUAAUUCAAUCACCAGGCAAAUCAAGCCUGCAAGAAAGGAAGCCAAUAUUCAAAAUGCCGUGUUACCAUCUUAACCCACUCAAAUAGUUAAUUUUCAGCAUUAAUAUGUAACUUCAAUAAUGAGAUGUCUAACUAAAGCAAGCUCCUCCAACAAGAUCAAAACAACAUCUCUUCUUCUAAGGCUCAGGUUUUGCUUAGAAUUCCCGAUACAUGGAAUAGUCCAUACCAACAACAGCCAUUGCUCCUACAACAAAGCCUAGGGCUUCCACACGCAUGUGGAUCAGAUGAUGGAAUAUUUUAGUAUUUCCCCUGCUCUUCAAUUUGUGUAGUCCAUAUGCAACAAUUGCUACAAAACCUGCCAUUCCAAUGGGGGUGAAUGGUGCCUCUUUAGCCUGAUCUUCAUUGUAUGAAGAAAAGGAAACAUCUGUGUCUGUCGACAUAGUGAUUGCUUGAAGAAUCUCCCUAGAGCGAGAAAACCUGUUACAUGCCAACCGGCUUCUCUCUCCUAUUUAUUUAUCUAUCUGUGAAAUAAGAACCUCCAGCUAGACUCCAAACCCAGUGGUACACAGGAGAGAAAACAGUCAUCACUGGAGAAAGCGACAGGGCAAUCAGUGUCCUCAGGGAAGAGCCAGGUUUCAGUCAAAGCAAGAAGGCCAAGGGAACGCUUAGAGAAAAGCUAUUCCUUAGAGAAAAGUGUAUUCCUUAACACACUUAGUAUGGUAAUCUAAGGUCAAAAUUAUUAUUAUUGUUGCUAGAGACAGAGUCUCACUCAGGCUGGAGUGCAGUGGCACCAUUUCAGCUCACUGCAGCCUCCAUCUCUCAGGUUCAAGCGAUUCUCCUGCCUCAGCCUCCCGAGUAGCUGGGAUUACAGGUGCCCACACCACGCCUGGCUAAUUUUUGUAUUUUUAGUGGAGACGGGGUUUCAUCAUGUUGGCCAGGCUGGACUUGAACUCCUGACCUCAAGUGAUCCAUCCACCUCAGCCUCCCAAAGUGCUGGGAUUACAGGUGUGAGCCACUGUACCCAGCCAAAAUUAUUUUCUCUUAGACAUUGCAGAAUCUUUUUUGCAUGCAAUGUUAAUUGGUGAGGAGGUGGAUGCCAGUCUGAUUCUUUCUUUUGUAGACAAUCUUGUUUUGUUAUUUUCUCAAUAUAAAUACAUCUAAAGUUCCAAUAAAAUCUAAAAUUCUGAAAUUUUACUUUGAUGUAUUCCAAGUUUGAAACCUUUGUCAUGUAUCUUGCUUGGUAUUCUAUAGGCCUCUUAAAUUAGAAGACUCAUGUCUCCUUUAACUCUGGGAAUUUUUCUUCUAGUAUUUCUUUAUUUCCUCCUCCAAAUUCUCUGUGUUUUCUUCUUUUGGAACCCCUGUAGGAUGGAUAAUGGGAUAUCUAGAUCUAUUC